ACCAUGUUGUGGUUCGCAAGCGUGAUAAUUCAGUUUAUACGCUCACGUAUGAGACACACCUCCUUCAAAUCUUGUUAUGUCAUCACAUUAUCCAUCUGAUG
This is a small nucleolar RNA of Papio anubis (olive baboon), 101 nucleotides long. The record is from Ensembl. Lineage: Eukaryota; Metazoa; Chordata; Mammalia; Primates; Cercopithecidae.